UUCUUCACUGCAAGCUCCCUGCCUGCUACGUGUUCGACGGAAUGCUAAAUCGAACAUGUCAAAAAUGCAUCACGUCCCCGCUGGAUGAAAGUACCGACCCAAUUGAAAAAAGUGGACAUGGACGAGCGGACGGACAACCCAAACUGAAAAAAAAGGGACAAAAUUGAUGUUCGUUUAGGUUGUUGCGUUGGAGUUGCUCUUAUGAUUGACAGAGACUUUAUGCAUCUACUUGUUACCGUUCAAAAGUUUACGAAGCAGAGGAUAACAUAAAGAGUCGGAUGUUUAUGUAGUACAUAAC
This 298-nucleotide long non-coding RNA is filed under the name Hordeum vulgare. Its description in RNAcentral is "long non-coding RNA (HVUL_LNC016141)". The record is from RNAcentral. Lineage: Eukaryota; Viridiplantae; Streptophyta; Magnoliopsida; Poales; Poaceae.